UGGAUGCUCCAAAGGAUGAAAAGAUUUGAAGGAUGAAGAGGAGAGAAGAAGGUGCUCUGGAGAAAAUAAAAUCAACAAGAGAAAACCAAGAUGGGGCCUCCAAGAUUGGAGCCCCCUUUAAAUAGACAAGGGCUAGGAUUUUGAUCCAAGGGAGAGGGUGCCAAUUGAGUCCACGCCAAACACCUUUUGGGCAUCUUAAAAUUUUCAGAUUUAAGAGUUGGCAUGGGGAAGG
This 232-nucleotide long non-coding RNA is filed under the name Elaeis guineensis (African oil palm). RNAcentral describes it as "long non-coding RNA (EGUI_LNC039651)". Lineage: Eukaryota; Viridiplantae; Streptophyta; Magnoliopsida; Arecales; Arecaceae. The record is from RNAcentral.